This 85-nucleotide transfer RNA is filed under the name Glutamicibacter nicotianae. RNAcentral's name for it is "tRNA-Leu". It matches the Rfam family "tRNA". Rfam says of the family: Transfer RNA (tRNA) molecules are approximately 80 nucleotides in length. Their secondary structure includes four short double-helical elements and three loops (D, anti-codon, and T loops). Lineage: Bacteria; Bacillati; Actinomycetota; Actinomycetes; Micrococcales; Micrococcaceae. The record is from RNAcentral. RNAcentral also lists the same sequence under 60 other names.
GCGAGUAUGGCGGAAUUGGUAGACGCGCUGGAUUUAGGUUCCAGUGUCUUCGGACGUGAGAGUUCAAGUCUCUCUACUCGCACCA